This 67-nucleotide transfer RNA is filed under the name uncultured Sporolactobacillus sp. It matches the Rfam family "tRNA". Rfam says of the family: Transfer RNA (tRNA) molecules are approximately 80 nucleotides in length. Their secondary structure includes four short double-helical elements and three loops (D, anti-codon, and T loops). The record is from RNAcentral. Lineage: Bacteria; Bacillati; Bacillota; Bacilli; Caryophanales; Sporolactobacillaceae.
UCGAUAGCUCAGUCGGUAGAGCAGAGGACUGAAAAUCCUCGUGUCGGUGGUUCAAUUCCGCCUCGAG